UACGGAGGGAGCUAGCGUUGUUCGGAAUUACUGGGCGUAAAGCGCACGUAGGCGGCUUUGUAAGUUAGAGGUGAAAGCCUGGAGCUCAACUCCAGAAUAGCCUUUAAGACUGCAUCGCUUGAAUCCAGGAGAGGUGAGUGGAAUUCCGAGUGUAGAGGUGAAAUUCGUAGAUAUUCGGAGGAACACCAGUGGCGAAGGCGGCUCACUGGCUCGAUACUGACGCUGAGGUGCGAAAGCGUGGGGAGCAAACAGG
This 253-nucleotide ribosomal RNA is filed under the name uncultured bacterium. RNAcentral describes it as "partial 16S ribosomal RNA". It matches the Rfam family "Bacterial small subunit ribosomal RNA", at positions 524 to 776 of the family's 1533-position model. The record is from RNAcentral.